Molecule: microRNA precursor, 93 nt
Filed under: Dasypus novemcinctus (nine-banded armadillo)
Lineage: Eukaryota; Metazoa; Chordata; Mammalia; Cingulata; Dasypodidae
Description: miRNA (ENSDNOG00000036891.1)
Source: RNAcentral
UGGAUAAAGAAAAUGUGGUGUGUGUGUGUGUGUGUGUGUGUAUAUAUAUAUAUACACACACCACAAUGGAAUACUAUGUAUAUAUAUAUAUAC